GCUGCACCAAUUUGCAUUCCCACCAACAGUGCAAGAGGGUUCCUGUUUCUCCACGUCUUCGUCUGGCACCUUUUUUAAAUGACGAGGAACUGUAAACAUUUUUUAGUGAUUCUGAAAAACACCUGCCCGUCAUUCUGCCCUGCAUCCUCCCAGAAGCCUAAUUGGAAGUUUUUGCUUCCAGAAUAUUAACCAUAAUUCAACAGAGUCCUUUCUGCUUCCGGAAAGGGCUGAAAUAAAGAUGUGACCAUUGUACCACCGCGUUCAACAGUGCGUGAGAUGCUGCACGGAAUGUAACAUGCUCUGUCUACAGAACGUCCUCUCAGAUUGCGAUCUAAGAAAAUUAAAAAGGUAUACACCGUACUUUCUCAUUUCAUCGUGUUCCGGGUUUGGAAGGACGGCGGAGGCCCCCGUGGGAGGCACGCACAGCACGCCACGCCCCCUUGAGAUAGAAGUCACAGGAAGGUGAGGAGCUGCGCAGUGCGAGGUAGCCAGUUCUGAGACCUGCCCUGAGCAGGAGCCUGCUGUCAAACCCUGGGGCAAGGGGAACCCUCCCUCUGCCAUCGGUUUCAUAUCCCAGCCUGGGUUUCUUUGGCCGCUACAGGGAAGCAUCGAGCACCUCUGGUUUAGGGACGCAGAGCCAGGCCUGUGGCCACUGUGGGCGCGUCUGUCCACCACGCAACUUCUCAAGGGGUGGCGGCCUUUCCAGUCCCCGCGUGGUGAGGUUCAGGACACCACUUCCACUGCCUUUUAGAAAUCGGGUGGGCGUUGGGGCUUGGUUUCAUUGCAAAGGUGAGAAAUCCUUCUUUAAAAUUGAAAUGAUACUCAAGUCUGUAUAUAAAGUAAAAAGUAAAAUUCUCCCUCAAGUCCUACUCCCCAGAGGGAAGAGUAGUUACAUUGGGCAUGUAUCCUUCUAGCCGUAGGCAUCUGUGAACACCUCUCUCUCUCUCUCUCUCUCUCUUUCACUUUCUUUCCAUGCACACAUCCCAAUAGUCCAUCUGUUUUCUUUUUAGGCAAAUGGGCUUCUGUGAUAUGUGUUAUCCUACAAUUGGCUUGUUUUCCCUUAAUGUUUCUUAGGCAUUAUUUUGUUUCUCUACUUAUUCCUAAACUUCAUUCUCAUUGCCUGCACAGUGCAAUCCCUAGCAUGGAUACAUUACAAUUGUUCACUCGGAAGGUACUUUUUAUUUCAAAUGAUAUAUACAAAAAUAAAUAUCUUGAGCCAUCUUUCUUUCAAUGGCAGACUUGUUCCUUCAACCAAGGUGGCUGCUUCUUGUUAACUAACACAGUCAGCUCUGUUCCCUAGGAAUCCUUUACUCUUUCAGGACUUCAGAGUGAUUGUUUCAUAAUAUUGGUGGGUUUUUUGUUUUGUUUUUUUUUUUAAUUUUUUUUUAACGUUUAUUUAUUUUUGAGACAGAGAGACAGACCAUGAAUGGGGGAGGAGCAGAGAGAGAGGGAGACACAGAAUCGGAAGCAGGCUCCAGGCUCUGAGCCAUCAGCCCAGAGCCUGACGCGGGGCUCGAACUCAGGGACCGUGAGAUCGCGAGAUCGUGACCUGAGCUGAAGUCGGACGCUUAACCGACUGAGCCACCCAGGCGCCCCUGGUGGAUUUUAUUGUAAAGCUUCUUAGGGACUAUUUGGAGGAGGGAGAAAGAGUAUUGUUCAUGUAAAAGAAAUCCAAAGUUUCAGCUUUAAAAUUUUUUUGUGUGUGUUUAUUUUUGACAGAGAGAGAGACAAAACAUGAGUGGGGGAGGGGCAGAGAGAGAGGGAGACACAGAAUCUGAAAUAGGCUCCAGGCUCUGAGCUAUCAGCACGGACCCCAACGCAGGGCUUGAACUCACAGACCGCGAGAUCAUGACCUGAGCUGAAGUCAGACACUCAACUGACUGAGCCACCCAGGCACCCCUAAAGUUUCAGCUUUAGAUGUCACCUUAUAAAGUGGAAACAGGUAGGUUACAUUCCUUUGAUGCAACAGACCAGGGUUUGUUUUGGGCAGUUCUGGCCCUAAAAAUGCUAAAAGUAUUUUUCCUUCAGGUACCUCAUGGUUUGAAGGAUUUCUUUUCUUGCCAAACAAAAUGAAUUUGUUAAACAAUUAUUUAUUUUCCUGUUUUUAUUAAUCACAAAUACUAAAGUGUCAAUUAGGAUUCCUGGUCAAAACGAAAUCAUUGGUAUCACUUUGAUAGUGUUCUGGCAAAGAAAUCUGAUGGUGAAGUUUUGUUGGGUAAAUGUGUGAUCGCCUUUAGGCUUUUUCAAAUACUAAACACAGAUCACAGUUCUCUAUUACUGCCUUUUGGGUCCCAAGGGGCUUGGACUGGGAGCAUUUGUCAAGUGUGUCAAAAGAAAAGCUGUGAAUAGAUUUAGGUAAGAGACACAUCACUGGCUUCAUCUAAAUUAUUGGGAAGUUUUGCAGAUUGUAUGUUACUUUUGGGGGGGGUGGGUUAAUCUUAAAUUACAUGAAUAAAUACAGCCAAGACUCUACUAAGAGAAAUGUACAUUUUUAAACUCAGAAAGCUUUGGUUUCUGGUUUUGUUGUUUUUUUUUUUUUUUAACGUUUAUUUUUGAGACAGAGACAGAGCAUGAACAGGGGAGGGGCAGAGAGAGAGGGAGACACAGAAUCUGAAACGGGCUCCAGGCUCUGAGCUGGCAGCACAGAGCCCGACGCGGGGCUCGAACUCACGGACCGCGAGAUCAUGACCUGAGCCGAAGUCGGACGCUUAACUGACUGAGCCACCCAGGCGCCCCACUUUGGUUUCUGUUUUAAUUGAAGUAUGAUCCACACGCAAUGUUAUGGUAGUUUCAGGUCUCACCAUGUUAGAUACCAUCUGUCACCGUGUAACGUUAUUACAAUAUUGACUGUAUUUCUUGUGCUGUACUUUUAAUCUCUGUGACUUAUUUCAUAAUUUGAAGUUUGUACCUCUUAAUCCCCUUUAUCAAUUUCACCCAUUCCCCCACCCACCUCCCUCUGGCAACCACCAGUUUGUUCUCUGUAUUCGAGUCUGUUUCCGUUUCUUCUUUUGUGUUUCAAUUCCACGUAGGAGUGAAAUCCUAUGGUAUUUCUCUGACUUGUUUCACUUAGCAUAAUAGGUGUAUAUACAUAUAUAGAAGUACACACACACACACACACACACCACUCUUCUUUAUCCAUUCAUCUAUUGAUGAAAACUUGGGUUGCCUCUAUACCUUGGCUAUUGUAAAUCAUGCUGCAAUAAACACAGGAGGUCCAUAUCUUUUCAUUUUCUUUGGGUAAAUAUCCAGCAGUGGAAAUACUGGAUCACAGGUAUUUCUGUUUUUAAUUUUUUUGGGAACUUCCACACCGUCUUCCAGUGUGGUUGCGCGAGUUUGCAUUCCCACCAACAGUGCAGGGGGGGGGUCCGUUUCCCCUACAUCCUCACCAACAUGGUUAUUUCUUAUCUUUUUGAUACUAGGCAUUCUGCCAGGUGUGAGGUGGCAUCUCAUUGUGGUUUUGAUUUGCAUUUUCCUGAGGCUGAGUGAUGCUGAGUAUCUUUUCAUAAGUCUGUUAUCCGUCUGUAUAUCUUCUUUGAGAAAAUGGCUAUUAAGUUCCUCUGCCCAUUUUUAAAUCAGGUUGUUGCUUUUCUUUUUUUUUUUUUUUUUGGUGUGGAGCUUUAUCAGCUCUUUAUAUAUUUUGGAUUUUAACCCCUUUUGGCUAUAUCAUUUGCACAUAUCUUUAACAGGUUGCAUUUUGGUUUUGUUGAUAGCUUCCUUUGCUGUGCAGAAGUUUUUUGACGAAGUCUUGGUAGUUUAUUUUUGCUUUUGUUUCCCUUGAGACAUAUCCUUAGAUAUUUGCUAAGGCUGACAUCCAAGAGAUUACUAUCUAUGUUUUCUUUUAGGAGUUUUAUGGUUUUGGGUCUCAUAUUUACAUCUUUAACCCAUUUGAGUUAAUUUUGUGUAUGGUGAAAGAAAGCGGUCCAAUUUCAUUCUUCUGCAUGUAGCUGUCCAGUUUUCCCAACACGAUUUGUUGAAGAGACUGUCUUUUUCCCAUUGCAUAUUCCUGCCACCUUUGUCCUAGAUUAACUGACCAUGUAGCUACGGGUUUAUUUCCAGGCUCUCUAUCCUGUUGCACAUGUGCUACUUUUAUAUCUCAAACUUCUCCCUCAUCUAUCACUUCAAGCCAAAUAUAGUCUGUUCUACAACAAAUGUUUCACAAUCAGUAAAUAGGAAGAGAAAUAAAGUAUAAUACGGAAGUUUUCCUGGUUCCUAAUCAAGGGGAGCCAGAAUAUUGGGAGCAGAAAAACACGUUGGCCAUGUGGUGAGCUCAACUUUUAAAGAAGUAAAAAUGAGCACCAGUUAUUUCGGGCUCCUUUACCAUAAUUUAGGCCAUUUCCUUUUUUGGGUAUUUAGAUCGGUCUCAAUUUUUCAGUUUGCAGACGGUGAUCUCUGUGACUCUGUCCUUUGCGAAGUAUGCCUAGAGGAUGAAUUUCUAGAGGUGGACUUGUAAAUAGGAAACAGCAAACUUGGGAACGAAGACGAAGCUCCAGUCACAAAGUUUGCGUAGCACUUGCCACUUGGCACUUGCUAUUUCAGACACAGGGUUUCUCAGCUGUGAACUGCCUGUCAACGUCAGUUCCCACCCCGAAGUGAGAGUCAGAGAUUUUAGUCCCAAGGCAACGAAGAAUUGGAGUACAAAGAAGUGAACCAAGGUAUGGAAAGAAAUUGACCACAGAGCAUGGCUUUCAAAAUGAACUGGAACAAACCAAAAAUGUUCAUGGCCACAGAUGCACUCGCUGUCUUUAUCACCUGUAAAUUUGAGCCAAACAGGACAUUCUAAAAUGCUUUCUCCUACUGAUAAAUACAAAUAAAGCCGGCGUCUUAACCACUGACUUCUAAAACGCUGGACUUUCCGAGAACAGUCACUUAAUGUUUUCUAUCUGCCAGCCCUUUGGAACUUCACAUCCAUUACCAACCAUACUGAGACCUUUGAACCACCACUGAGGUGAGCAGGGGCAUUCUUGUCCUUGUUUUAACACGUAAGGGACCGGGUGCAGCCGGGGUAACGUUGCCAAACGGAGACAGCUAAGCAGGGGUAGAACCGACAUCAGAACCCAGCUCUUUCGCCAGCCCAUUAAACACACAGUUAGGGACUAACUGG
Molecule: long non-coding RNA, 5101 nt
Filed under: Lynx pardinus (Iberian lynx)
Lineage: Eukaryota; Metazoa; Chordata; Mammalia; Carnivora; Felidae
Source: RNAcentral